AAAACUUACCAGGUCAAGACAUGGGCGUGAUUGACAGGCUAAUGACUUUUCUCGAUUCCAUGGAUGGUGGUGCAUGGUCGCACUUAGUUGGUGCAGUGAUUUGUCAGGUUUAUUCCGGUAACGAACGAGACCUCGGCCUUGUAAAUAGCUAUGCUGCUUACAGGGACAUUGGCGGCUACGCCAAGGAAGCUCGAGGCAAUUGCAGAUCUGGAAUGCCCUUAGAUGUCCUGGGUCGCACGCGUGCUACAAUGACGCCACGAACGAGCUUGCGUGAUGAAAGUUACGCAUAAUCGGCAGUCGGCGUCUUAAGGGAUAGUCUCUUGUAACUGUGGGACUCCAACUAGGAAUGUCUCGUAAGCACAAGUCAACAUCUUGUGUUGAUUACGUCCCUGCUCUUUGUACACACCGCCCGUCGCUCCUACCGAUCGAGUGUUUAGGUGAAUUUGAUGGACGUAAGGAAGUCAAAUAAACCUGAGCACUAGAGAAGAGAAGUCGAGAUC
This 500-nucleotide ribosomal RNA is filed under the name uncultured Myrionecta. Its description in RNAcentral is "bacterial SSU rRNA". It matches the Rfam family "Eukaryotic small subunit ribosomal RNA", at positions 1210 to 1796 of the family's 1831-position model. The record is from RNAcentral. Lineage: Eukaryota; Ciliophora; Litostomatea; Cyclotrichida; Mesodiniidae.